GUGUAGCGGUGAAAUGCGUAGAGAUCUGGAGGAAUACCGGUGGCGAAGGCGGCCCCCUGGACAAAGACUGACGCUCAGGUGCGAAAGCGUGGGGAGCAAACAGGAUUAGAUACCCUGGUAGUCCACGCUGUAAACGAUGUCGAUUUGGAGGUUGUGCCCUUGAGGCGUGGCUUCCGGAGCUAACGCGUUAAAUCGACCGCCUGGGGAGUACGGCCGCAAGGUUAAAACUCAAAUGAAUUGACGGGGGCCCGCACAAGCGGUGGAGCAUGUGGUUUAAUUCGAUGCAACGCGAAGAACCUUACCUACUCUUGACAUCCAGAGAAUUCGCUAGAGAUAGCUUAGUGCCUUCGGGAACUCUGAGACAGGUGCUGCAUGGCUGUCGUCAGCU
This 388-nucleotide ribosomal RNA is filed under the name Serratia plymuthica. RNAcentral describes it as "bacterial SSU rRNA". It matches the Rfam family "Bacterial small subunit ribosomal RNA", at positions 673 to 1060 of the family's 1533-position model. The record is from RNAcentral. Lineage: Bacteria; Pseudomonadati; Pseudomonadota; Gammaproteobacteria; Enterobacterales; Yersiniaceae.